GUGCAGCAGGCGCGAAAACUCUGCAAUAAGCGAAAGCUUGACAGGGUUAUUCUGAGUGAUUUCCGCUAAGGAAAUCUUUUGGCACCUCUAAAAAUGGUGCAGAAUAAGGGGUGGGCAAGCCUGGUGUCAGCCGCCGCGGUAAUACCAGCACCCCGAGUGGUCGGGACGAUUAUUGGGCCUAAAGCAUCCGUAGCCGGUUCUACAAGUCUUCCGUUAAAUCCACCUGCUUAACAGAUGGGCUGCGGAGGAUACUAUAGAGCUAGGAGGCGGGAGAGGCAAGCGGUACUUAGUGGGUAGGGGUAAAAUCCGUUGAUCCAUUGAAGACCACCAGUGGCGAAGGCGGCUUGCCAGAACGCACUCGACGGUGAGGGAUGAAAGCUGGGGGAGCAAACCGGAUUAGAUACCCGCGUAGUCC
Molecule: ribosomal RNA, 415 nt
Filed under: uncultured archaeon
Lineage: Archaea
Description: bacterial SSU rRNA
Rfam family: Archaeal small subunit ribosomal RNA
Source: RNAcentral